RNAcentral lists this ribosomal RNA (460 nucleotides) under uncultured bacterium. RNAcentral describes it as "partial 16S ribosomal RNA". It matches the Rfam family "Bacterial small subunit ribosomal RNA", at positions 338 to 795 of the family's 1533-position model. The record is from RNAcentral.
CCUACGGGAGGCAGCAGUGAGGAAUAUUGGUCAAUGGACGAGAGUCUGAACCAGCCAAGUAGCGUGAAGGAUGACUGCCCUAUGGGUUGUAAACUUCUUUUAUAUGGGAAUAAAAUGUUCCACGUGUGGGAUUUUGUAUGUACCAUAUGAAUAAGGAUCGGCUAACUCCGUGCCAGCAGCCGCGGUAAUACGGAGGAUCCGAGCGUUAUCCGGAUUUAUUGGGUUUAAAGGGAGCGUAGGUGGAUUGUUAAGUCAGUUGUGAAAGUUUGCGGCUCAACCGGAAAAUUGCAGUGGAAACUGGCAGUCUUGAGUACAGUAGAGGUGGGCGGAAUGCGUGGUGUAGCGGUGAAAUGCUUAGAUAUGACGAAGAACUCCGAUUGCGAAGGCAGUUCACUGGACUGCAACUGACACUGAGGCUCGAAAGUGUGGGUAUCAAACAGGAUUAGAUACCCCAGUAGUC